AUGGGGCGGAGGCAGGAACCAGGUAAGGCGCGGGGAGAGCAGCGAGCCGCGAGGCGGACCAAGCGGAGCCCAGACCCGGCCGCCCGCGCCUCCACGCAGGCCACCGCCCCGACCGCUCUCACUGCGCGCAGCCGUGGGAACCCGGGAGGGGCCUCCUCUCGCUCCCCGCUUCUGGGGGCGCUCGGCCCGCCAAUGGCAUCAGCCUUGCAGGGAGGAGACGGCAGGCAGACGGCUCAGGGGCAGGUCAGGCCUCCACACGCGGCUGGUGCACGGCUGUCUGCGGCAGGACCUGCGCGGGCCUCACCGGAAACAGCGCUGGCGGGCUGUGGGUCCUCAGCACGUGUCCGGUGCCGCAGCGGGUCGGGAACUGUUCCUUCCGGUGAGGCAGCGGGGGUCGGGGACGUGUUCCUUCCGGUGCCGCUGCGGGGUCGGGAACUGUUCCUUCCGGUGCCGCAGGGGGGCAGGGGGUCGGGAACGUGUUCCUUCCGGUGCCGGUGCCGCAGGGGGUCGGGAACUGUUCCUUCCGGUGCCGCAUCCGGGUCGGGAACUUGUUCCGGUGCCACAUCGGGUUCGGGAACGUGUUCCUUCCGGUGCCGCAGCGGGGUCGGAAACCUGUUCCUUCCGGUGCCGGUGCCGCAGCGGGGUCGGGAACUGUUCCUUCCUGUGCCGCAGGGGGUCGGGAACGUUCCUUCCGGUGCCGUAGGGGGUCGGGAACUGUUCCUUCCGGUGCCGCAGAGGGUCGGGGACGUGUUCCUUCCGGUGCCGCAUCCAGGGUCGGGAAUGUGUUCCUUCCGGUGCCGCGGCGGAUGGGGGACGUGUUCCUUCGGUGGGGCGGGAUGGGGACUCUGGGUUGCUGUGCUCUGCUGCUCCUGUGGAUUUGCCGCCACAUCAGCACCGUGCUGGGGCGUCAGUGGCCUCCUCCCACUGCAUACGCACCGUCACGUCCCGUCUCUCCCUGGCCCCUUGUCUCCCGGUGUCUGUGCGUGCCCGUCUGCUGAGAUGAGGCAGUCCGAGGAGGCCGUUGGCUGCACCUGCCCCGUUCUGGGGCAUCCUCGCUCCUCUGCAGUUCGGUGGUGUCUCUGCUUCUUACUCUGUCCUGUAGUGCUGAGCACCCGCCCGCCGACGCCGAGUUCCCGGCUCUGUUCCGGUAGUCCCGUCCGAGGGAGUUUUGGCAGGACAUGGGCCGGCUGCCUGGUGGCCGUGUCCACCCAGCUGUCACAUCAUUGUCUCGGGCCCCGUCUGCACACCUGA
RNAcentral lists this long non-coding RNA (1251 nucleotides) under Oryctolagus cuniculus (rabbit). RNAcentral's name for it is "lncRNA (ENSOCUG00000039116.1)". The record is from RNAcentral. Lineage: Eukaryota; Metazoa; Chordata; Mammalia; Lagomorpha; Leporidae.